Molecule: long non-coding RNA, 1512 nt
Organism: Herpailurus yagouaroundi (jaguarundi)
Lineage: Eukaryota; Metazoa; Chordata; Mammalia; Carnivora; Felidae
Exons: 5
Source: RefSeq, a predicted model, not a curated record
AGGUUCUUAGGUUCUGUUCUUCUAGGAGGUGCGUGUGCGACAUUCUCCGUUUCAUAUAAUCAGGUUCCACUUUAGAUUGAAGUCCUUUUACAAGUUACCAGGAAUUUUUGAAGAAAUAAAAUAUUGGCACAAUAUGAUUUGUCUACCUUUUCCCUGUCUUACUUACCUUCUUUACUUACCUUCCUUACCUUCAGCUUACCUUCCUUAAACAUCUCUUGACCGCCCAACAUGUCAGACACCGACCUGAGAGCUAGGUACAGAGCAGGUGUCCUUUAAUUCCUUAGUUAGCCUGAGUUAACCUAUAGAUUUGCUGUCAAAAGGUCUAACCUGGGCAGUUGCAUCUAGUUCACCCUGUAGGUACACCGUGCAGCCCAUUCUACAAACAUUGACCAGGUGCCUGCUUCCUGCCAGCUACUGUAUCACAUGCAUGUGGACUUUGUCUUCAAGCAGUUCAUGUUGUUUUGGAGGGAGCCUGACACGCAAGCUAACAAUCACGAUAAGAUACAGCGACCACAUGUCCUAUCUGUAAAGUGUGGUCAUUCAGUGAUCCAGGUUUCCUUCAUUGCGUGACCUCACAGUCUCCUCAGGCAAUGUCAUCAUCUGCAUGAAUGAGGUGUGGUUGAUCUGGAUUCCAGUAGAAAGGAGGAAUAGAAUAUCGAGGAGGUGAAUAUUCAGGAGGGAGGCCAUGGCCUGGAGAGGACGCUGGUGACCAGGGAAGAGCAGAAGAGUGAAAUCUGCUGCCAUUUGCCAUGGCAGACUGCCAUGGGCACAGUGGCUAACUCUGCAGGAGUAAUCUGACUUCAAACAACGGAAGUCAGUGCUGGGCGUUCUUGGGUCCAGUGGGAAAUAGUUUUAAUAAGGUUCUGGGACAUCUCCUAGAGAAAGGAAAUGUCCAGUGAUUACUCAGAACUAUGUUAAUUGUGGAUGUAUCAAAGAUUACUGAACGCCCUUUGCAAUAUUUUCCUGAGGCAGAUGGAGAAUAAACACCUUCAUUAUGGGUACUCAGAUGAUCCACUGUGCUGAAUUACAUUGAGAAGCACCUGGUACGUUUCUUGAUCUACCCGUGCACUCACGUACCCUGCUGUAACGUCAGGAUUGCCCUAAGUGGGUACCUAUCUCCUACGAAAUACCAAGUGCGUUUUCCACAGCCUUUCAGAACCUCUGAUAGUGCUACCCAAACAAAUCCUGGAGUAACGAGGCAGUUCUAAUGUAAAUGUUUAAUAGAGGCAAGGGAUUCUCAUCUGAUUACUUUGCUGCUGCAGAGAAAGAGGAUCUAAUUUAACAUCAAGUCUGUAAUUAGUGAAUAGUGCUCUUUUGCCUGGGUAAACGAAAUCCCUUGCAUUUUGAUAAUGACUUGCAUUCAGAAUUGAAAUUAAACUAAGCUAAAAAAAAAAUCAUAACUUUACCUUAGGGUAGCACACUAAGUCAAUGCCAUAUAGACUGUUUACAAAAGUAAAUCUAAAGCACAAUGUUCUGGAGUUGACUUUACUAGGGAAGCUGCAACCUUUAUUU